RNA transcript from Carica papaya (papaya), 1295 nucleotides. RefSeq lists it as uncharacterized. The record is from RefSeq and is a predicted model, not a curated record. Lineage: Eukaryota; Viridiplantae; Streptophyta; Magnoliopsida; Brassicales; Caricaceae.
UUAUUUUGAACUCAAAAUUUCAGAAGCAGAGUGAAACCCGAGAGUGUUGGUGAGGAAGGAAGUUUAAAAACAGAGUGUGAGUGUAUGUUGGUGCCAAGAAGGAAUUCUGGUCCAAUUGUGGGAAGAAUUUCCUUAUGCUCUAAGCUAGAUUUUAGAACCAAAAAUUUGCAGCAACUUCCCUGAUUUGUUGUCGUUUUAUCUGCUGUCAGGGUUGUAGCUUGUUUCUGCUGCGUAUUCCAUGUAAGAUGGGUGACAAUCUUGGUCAAUACAGGGUUCAAAGACAUGAAUGAUGGCGACUGGAGUGAAAUUUGUGGGAUGGCAUUCGGAGAGUAUUAAGUGAAUUAUAUGUAUUUAUUUAUGUUUUUAAUUUAUUUAUUGAUUACACUUCUAUCCUUAUCUAGUUGGUAACUUGUUCUCUUUUUGGAAAUAGUAUUCGUGGUUGCGUGCAUAGGAUUAUAAACAGUAAAACUAAAAUUAGGAUUACAAUUUAGUAUUAAAAACUGAGUCAGAAGAUGUAUUUAGUCUUGGGUGUAUGUGUGUGAGUUAUGUAAAUGCAUUAAAUACAUAUUAAGUCAAUUAAAUGGUUAUCGUACAACAUGAAAAUGAUUGUUUAUUGUUAAUUAAUUUAUUACUAUUUUACUUAAUCUCUACAUUAAAGAACUAUUUUCAAAGAAUGUUUGUAUGUCUUUAAUAUUGCCUAUUUUACUGAGUAUUGGAACUAACUUAAAUCCAACAUCCCCUCUCCCCCAAGAAUAUUUGUAUGUCCUUAAUAUUUUCUAUUUUACUGAGUAUUGGAAUUAACUUAAAUCCAACAUCCCCCCCGUUAUGAGUUUUUGAGGACCCCUGCUUAGAUUCCUUCCAGGACGAUUAGUUAUGGGAGUAGACUUGUUUAAACACUUUAAAGGCUAUUAUAUUUGUAUAGGUUAUUUCUUUUGAAUUGUAUAUAUGUGUAGAUAACCUAGUGCCUUAGUAUACAGUUUUUAUAUUUUGUGUUGGGAUGUAAAAUUCUGCUGCUAUGUUUAUUGUAUCUUUUAUAUCUGCUCUAUCGUAUAUUGGUGCCCUCUUUAGCAUUGGAACGUCACACUUUGUAUGCAUUUAAAAAUAGUAUGAAUAUGCUUUAGGGUAUUGUCAUAUUGCAUUUCUACUUCUGACAUUUGAUUAUUGAAAAUAUUUAUCCAUUGACUACAAGAAAAAAAGUAAUUAGUUUACACAUAUUAGUUAAUUGAAUAAUAUCUAUUUAAUUUUAAAAUAAAAUUCACUUAAUGAAUGCAUACAUAUAUAUACAAGUGAGUACA